RNAcentral lists this long non-coding RNA (723 nucleotides) under Limulus polyphemus (Atlantic horseshoe crab). RNAcentral's name for it is "uncharacterized LOC111086390, transcript variant X2". Lineage: Eukaryota; Metazoa; Arthropoda; Merostomata; Xiphosura; Limulidae. The record is from RNAcentral.
CUCAAAUCUUUUUCUCUCCAUUUUUCUUAUCAGAUUUUACCUCCUCUGCCUGCAAAAUUAUAGAGACGUCCUUUCAGUGGCUGAGGAGACGACACCGGUAUGUUUCAGCUAGUGAAGGCUAUAAGAGCUUGACCGUUUACGCGGUGAUGCAAUUGCAGGACAAAGAAACAAAGGUUUUUAUAGAGCUUUAAUUUGGAGCAGUUCUAUAUGGCUUUCAUCAUAACUGGGGAGAUUCAUCUCGAGUGAAGAUCUAGUAGAGGAGAUCGUCUAAUUGUCCAACCGGUCUCAAGGGUCCUAGUAUCGAGGGAAAGUCCUCGUCGGCAAUAGAUAUCGCAUUAGGACAUCAUAAAGUUCAAAAUGCUAAAGGAUAGACAGACAAAGAAGCAGAAAGGAAAAAUGAAAACAAGCAAUAUAUAUAUAUAGAGGCUUUGACAGCAAGUAGACAGACAGACAUAGUAUUUGUUAUUUAUAUUGGAGUUGAUUUUUAGCUAGCUAUCUGAAUUAAUGUUUAACAUACUACCAACGAUUUCAACCUAUUACCAUCAGUUUCACUCUCCACUCCGCCGAAUGGUGAUGCAUAACUUAGCUUGUUUUGACAGAUCCGGUGAUUUAACACAGGCGGCAGAUUACCAUUCUGUAUCAGGUUUGAUAUACAAGCCUCUUUCAUAGUUGAUGAACUACACCUACAAACUGGCCUAAUGAAUGUCAAAUAAACAUAAUGAA